This is a long non-coding RNA of Panthera uncia (snow leopard), 3962 nucleotides long. RefSeq lists it as uncharacterized. Lineage: Eukaryota; Metazoa; Chordata; Mammalia; Carnivora; Felidae. The transcript is spliced from 3 exons. The record is from RefSeq and is a predicted model, not a curated record.
GAUAGGACCAGAAAUUCUGCACUUCUAACAAGCUUCCAAGGAUGUGGGUGCCGAUGAUCCACAGACCUUCCUUUGUGCAGCAGGCCAUUAAACAACCAAAGCACCUUGGGCUUCAAAAAAUAAUGGUGUCACUCAAUGCCCUGACUCCUUCUCUACAACAUGGAUGGACCCUGCCCAAAGAGCCUCCUGGGAACAAUCAGAUGGACACCAAUUCACUUAAAAAAUCCUUGGAGAAAUAACCCACUUAUCUGGAAAUCUCCUCACCUUUUAAGACCACACACAAAAGUAACAACAACAAAACCUAUAGAAAGAAGACACAGAAGUUCUCAGGCCAACCAGGAAAGACAUCUCAAAGUGUUUAUAGGGAGGCUCCCAUUCCAUGGAAGUCUCCAAGAACUCAUACUGUACAGGUCAUGCUCAGGGUGACCUGUGGGAAACAGGCAUCAUUUUUCCUGGGGAUACCUUAUUGCAUAAAUGGUCACUAAAUUUGUAAGUGCCCUAAAACCUCCCACACUCUCUUAGCCUCUCUGGCCAUCUGCAAGAAAACAAAAAUGCCAAGACUGCCUUCAUCCCAGCUGGUCCUUGAUGGGUGCUCUGAGCUACCUGGCCUUUAUGAGCUGUUGGGAAAGGACAUGAGUGGAGCCUGGAUCUUGAAGAAAAGUGGGACCAAAUGUCCAAGCCCGUACCCCCUGCCCCCAGCUGUACCCCUACUGACCACGAAACUCUGUGCAAUCAUGGAGGUUCUCUGAGCCUCAGUUUCCCCAUUUGUAAAAUGGGGCAGAGUUUCUCGCCUUGUGAUAUUCUUGCAAAGACUUAGCUGAGAUCACUGUAUGAAGGCAUCUGGGACAGAGCCUAUACAUCACUGGCACUCAGUCAAUGUUAGCCGAGUCUCAGUUCUCCUGUCCUCCACAAAGGGCUCUGCUCCAUCAUGGCUGAUGUCACCUGCCACAGGCUACAUUGGACUUACUCUGACACCCCUACAUUCCUGGGACUCCAGUAAUCCUAAAUACUUUUUUCCUCUAAAGAAACUGUCCUGUUCCCCAUGAGAGGAAACACAACAUCUCUAAAGGGACUUUUUCUUCAGAAUCAGCCAGCCUGAGAGAGCUUGGGGCUAUACCUGAUUUUUCUGGCCCUGGCAUCUGGGACUCUAUACCUGUCUCCUGCAGGGUCUCAGGUACCAAUCAAUGGCAAGAACCCAGCUAACAAAGGGUCAGCCGACAUACCACAACAGGACCCUUCCACUCUGAUGGGGAAGGUUUUAGUCAACAAAGGUUCUGUCUGUGCUGCUGCUGAAUUGUCAGGCUUCAUGAUAGACACAUUCCCUGGGUCUAGAUUUAUGGUUGCAACUCAAUAAUGCCAGCUUUGCAGCUGUGGCCUCAGAGGUGGCCCACCCCUUCCCAGAAAGGCAGGUUGUCAUAACCCCAAAAUAGGUAUUGGACACUCUGCUUCGUCCCUGGUGAAGGAGCAAGGGAUCUAGAACACUUCCACCCUCUAUCCCCUCUUCAUUUUGCCCUGAGCUCUGACCCUAAUGGAAGACCUGCAGCCUCUGGGUCCCUGAAGCCAUGUCAGGGCCUGAGCACCAGUGGGCCGGCCAGAGAAGAGUGGGCUCAUGGGGCCGGACCUUGGCAACCUCUGAGAAGCCCCUACCAGCUCCCCAGCCACUUUUUGGGAAGGGCCAGGAGUUGGAAAAUCAUAUGGUGUUCUGGAAGUGAUUCCCUUGAUAUUUUCUGAGCUGUAAAGACAAGUCGGCUUCUGGGAAAGACUCCUGGGUCUGUAGGCCUAAAGUUCUCCAGAAUGCUACCUUUUCAGGAGCAGAAAGAAUGAGUGAUACAUUCCUGGGAUGGAUCGUAGCAGGUAUGACCUAUGGAACAGGACAAAAGCAAAUGAACAGCACUUCAUUAAGAUCCCCUGAGUAGCUAAGAGUAUGUGUAGGGUGGGGGAGGAGUCGAGGAAUGAGGCCAACAGAGAAAAUGCAUUCGUGUCAAAGGACCGACUUCCUUUUUCAAUCCAAAGGAAUUCCAUCUAAGCUCCCACCAGCCAGAGAACGGAAGCGUGUUGUGCUGGAGCAGUUUAGGCAGUGUCGGAAUUAAUCUUUUAAGAACUGUCUCGGAUGGCUCGGCCACCUUGUGCGAGAUUCGUAAACCGUGUGCAAAACUCAGACUUGUGCAGGCAACCAGAGAAGGUAAGAACCUGUCUUCUGCACGCAGGGCUUCCCCUGCCUGAUUUGUGCUUUGUCUAACCCCAGGAUCUCUCUUCUUCCCAGCGGCUCUUUUGAAAGCCUGGUGAAGGCAGGCGAGGCCAAAUUGGCUACAGGGUAGAACCUGCUAUUCUCCCUCUUGGUGAGCUGCUGAGCAUCUAUUUCAAAUACCUCUAAAGGAUGGACAGCCUGAGGGCUGAGUUCCCGAAUGCUUUUGAUGCUGGGCUCUUGAAGAUUCUCUCUAUGUCUGACUUUCAGAAUGAAAGCAGAUGUAGUAACCCCACCCAGGCACAUUGCAGUCACUGGCUGGCAAGGGAGGAGGGGUAUUAGCAAAAAGUAGUGCAAAGGUAGGGAGGUGGGAUUUGGCACUAGGUAGAGCACGUAGAGUCGGUGGGAAGGAGGCAUUGGCAUAAAGCGAAGGUAGAAAAUAUUCACCCUCUGGGGAUAGGUUACUCCGUAUAGAUGACCACAAAUAAGGAACAGAAACACCUGGGUCAAAUCCUUCCCAGAGUAUGCCAGCUCCCUGCCAGGGUCUGUAUUCAGGACCAAGGUGUAGGUGCUGAUUUAGCUGAAGGUCCCUGUCAUUCCCCCAGCCCCCAAUCCCAGAGGUCACAUGCUCAUUGUCCCACUUAAGCCAAAUUUUUUUCUUGCCUUAAGCCAACACAUCCCCAAAACAUAUCCUAUAAAAGUAGAUUUCAUAAAGAAUAUAAAUAUUUUGAAUCAAGAAGAGGAUGAAAACAAGUUAUAAACAUGUAACUGAAACAUAAAAAUACACAUCAGUUCACUUACAGAACCAAACAGGGUUACAUCGAAUCAUUUAAAAUGAAAGCAAAGGAAAACUCUUCUCGGGAGCUCUUAAAUUUAGGAAAAGAAUCACUGUAGCAUGCUCACCUUGAACCAGGGAUUGGAUAUUGUGGUUCUUGUACAAAGGAAAAUCUGGGAGGGAGAUGGAGGUCCGAGGUGAAGGAGGGAGGAAGAUUGCAUAGUUGUGAAACAGUGGCUUCUCAUCAAGGUGAACAAGUGCGUCCUCUGAUAAAAUAGCAUUUGAUUUUUUUUUCUGUUCAUUUCUGUUCACGGUAUUUUUCUCUGUCCACCAAACAUGUCAUACACUGACACAUAUAUACAGUACACACACACAUGCGAGUGCUAAACACCUGAAUUACACAGCCAUACUUGAAAACGCCCCCUCCCCACUCUUUCUGCGCAAAGUUCCUAUUUGCUUUUGCUACAUCCUGACCCGUUUCUUGUCAAAACUCCUGUUUCGGAUUGUUUCUUUAGCAAAAGGGAUUGGGAGGGGGUGGGGGGGCGGGGAGGGGGGCCUUCCAGGAAAGCACCGGAAAUGGUUCUAUUCUCUCACUGAAUUUCUGUGGCAAUGCCUCGCAUUUUGGUUAGGGGCUCACUAGUUUUUAAGAGAUAGGAAACAACUGCCUCUUUUUUUUUUUUAAGCUUUCUUGAGGUAAACAUUAUUUGCUAACACCUUAGGCAGGAGACACGUUUUAUAGUGCUGUUGAGAAACUUUGCAAAAAGGAGGAAACACCACCAAAGUGUAACAUCGAUGCUUAAGAACAUUUAGAAAGCAAGUCCCCGUUUUAACUCAUUUCCCCUUCCUCUCAUUCGGCCAACUCCUUCUAGUAACAUAUAGAGCAGAACAAAGCUGAUUAAUUGUCUAUAUCAUACUGGGCAUCCCUUAUCCCAACCCACAGUAAACCUCUCUUGCUCACAUACUAAAAAUUGUGAGUCAACUGAAAAAUUAAAAAAGAGAUGA